This 440-nucleotide ribosomal RNA is filed under the name Metabacillus niabensis. RNAcentral's name for it is "bacterial SSU rRNA". It matches the Rfam family "Bacterial small subunit ribosomal RNA", at positions 950 to 1389 of the family's 1533-position model. Lineage: Bacteria; Bacillati; Bacillota; Bacilli; Caryophanales; Bacillaceae. The record is from RNAcentral.
UUCGAAGCAACGCGAAGAACCUUACCAGGUCUUGACAUCCUUCGCUACUUCUAGAGAUAGAAGGUUGCCCUUCGGGGGACGAAGUGACAGGUGGUGCAUGGUUGUCGUCAGCUCGUGUCGUGAGAUGUUGGGUUAAGUCCCGCAACGAGCGCAACCCUUGAUCUUAGUUGCCAGCAUUCAGUUGGGCACUCUAAGGUGACUGCCGGUGACAAACCGGAGGAAGGUGGGGAUGACGUCAAAUCAUCAUGCCCCUUAUGACCUGGGCUACACACGUGCUACAAUGGAUGGUACAAAGGGCUGCAAGACUGCGAAGUCAAGCCAAUCCCAUAAAACCAUUCUCAGUUCGGAUUGCAGGCUGCAACUCGCCUGCAUGAAGCCGGAAUCGCUAGUAAUCGCGGAUCAUCAUGCCGCGGUGAAUACGUUCCCGGGCCUUGUACACA